This 327-nucleotide long non-coding RNA is filed under the name Helianthus annuus (common sunflower). Its description in RNAcentral is "sRNA HanXRQr2_Chr12g0533211". Lineage: Eukaryota; Viridiplantae; Streptophyta; Magnoliopsida; Asterales; Asteraceae. The record is from RNAcentral.
CAAAAUAAGGGAAACCCUUAUUCAACUUUUAUCCACCAAAUUGAAGGAUGAAUUAGGGCCAAAUCACAUGCAUAAACAUAAAUUCGUGAUCAUCUAAGCUUGGAGAUCAUGAGGUGGAAGCUUGGGAAAGAAGCGGGUCAAACAAAUCAAGUACGAGGAAAAAGCAUAAUUUGGAUGCAAGGUGAUAGCUAGGACCUUACGGAUGAUGACCAAACUUAUUAGACGAACCGAACACAACUGAAUUUCAAGCUUCCGCUUAUUUUCGUUAUUUUACGAACCGAAUCAAUUAUGAAGUUUGUAAAAGAUUUAUAUUUUACGAAUGUAUUA